This 253-nucleotide ribosomal RNA is filed under the name uncultured bacterium. Its description in RNAcentral is "partial 16S ribosomal RNA". It matches the Rfam family "Bacterial small subunit ribosomal RNA", at positions 524 to 776 of the family's 1533-position model. The record is from RNAcentral.
UACAGAGGGUGCAAGCGUUAAUCGGAAUUACUGGGCGUAAAGCGCACGCAGGCGGUCUGUCAAGUCGGAUGUGAAAUCCCCGGGCUCAACCUGGGAACUGCAUUCGAAACUGGCAGGCUAGAGUCUUGUAGAGGGGGGUAGAAUUCCAGGUGUAGCGGUGAAAUGCGUAGAGAUCUGGAGGAAUACCGGUGGCGAAGGCGGCCCCCUGGACAAAGACUGACGCUCAGGUGCGAAAGCGUGGGGAGCAAACAGG